AGUUGUAGUAUGUUGUUGUGUUUAAAACACUGAAAUGAAGCUGUAUUUAUAGUUGAAAAACUUGGCAUUACCGUUGCCUAAUUGCCAAUUAAGAGUUCUGAUUUUACUCACUGACAAUCGAUUGUCAAACCCCAACAAUCGAUUGUCUGCCAGUCAGAUCAAAAUUCAAUCCCAGAUUAUACUCUUGACAAUCGAUUACUUACAAUCCAUAAUCGAUUACUGGCAACGUUAAAAAAAAAUCCUUUCCAGAUUUUAC
Molecule: long non-coding RNA, 256 nt
Filed under: Nicotiana benthamiana
Lineage: Eukaryota; Viridiplantae; Streptophyta; Magnoliopsida; Solanales; Solanaceae
Description: long non-coding RNA (NBEN_LNC036118)
Source: RNAcentral